This is a long non-coding RNA of Aricia agestis (brown argus), 379 nucleotides long. RefSeq lists it as uncharacterized. The transcript is spliced from 3 exons. The record is from RefSeq and is a predicted model, not a curated record. Lineage: Eukaryota; Metazoa; Arthropoda; Insecta; Lepidoptera; Lycaenidae.
CGUCGCAGUGACCCGCAACAACUAUCCCAAUGGAGAAAUAUUCUCAUCGCUGGCUUACAAUCACAUCGGUGAUGUAAUAACUUUCAGCUCAGCAGACAUUCCUGUCUCUGAUCCUAACUACGUUAGAGGUACAGGCCGAGUUGUAUCUGAUGGCAAAAUGAUCUUCAGAUUCGGUAUUGGAGAUUCUAGCCAAGAUGCUGAUAUGACUGUGGUCGCUCUAAGUGACGACAUCCUUGGUCUUUUCGGCUGCGUCAACGGAGACGAGUCUAGCGCAAUUACAUGGCUGUCAACGAGACAAGAAAAUCCGGACGAGAAAGUUAAGGCAGAGAUUCAAAAGGUUUUGGACUCAUACGUAGAUCCUAGCACAAACCAAAAGGCA